RNAcentral lists this long non-coding RNA (1979 nucleotides) under Triticum aestivum (bread wheat). RNAcentral's name for it is "long non-coding RNA (TAES_LNC009877)". The record is from RNAcentral. Lineage: Eukaryota; Viridiplantae; Streptophyta; Magnoliopsida; Poales; Poaceae.
UCAAAUUGAUUUUCUGUAGCUUUUGUUGAUCUUCUAUUUGUUCCAACUAAAUUUGUCAUUCCAUUUCCUAAUCCAAUUCCUUUGCAGGAACCUGAUCCUGAUGAUGACCAGAGAAGGAUGUAUGUGAGAGGUACCGGUGUUAGCUCAUAAGUAUAUUAGAAGAUAAGCAUCCAUUGUAUAAUUAUUCAGUUAUACUGUUAAUCCAUGCCUCAACAAUUGACUAGAUAAAACGAGAGGAUGAACAUUGGACUUUCCUCAUGAUUGGGUUCCUGGGAGGAGCAUUAGGCAAUCGACCAAUCCACCUGUCAUCAUGACAAAAGCUAAAAAGUGAAUGUUGUUAAAUUGGUUAAAAUCAAACCACUGAGGUUUGCAUCAAAUGUUGUUAAAUUGGUUUCGUCAACCAUCCAACUUGUACCCAAAGGAUGUCAUUUUUUUAGGUUAGUUGACUAACCCCUCUUUUUAUAAUGGUCCAGCAAAUUAAGAGGAAAGAGGGAAAAAUGUAUGACACAAGAAGAGAUACUUUUAGAAGCAGCUGAAAUAGGUAUCAUUUGUUUCUUUUUCUAACUUUACACAAAGGAUUUUUUGUGAAGAAAUGAUUUAAAUGUGCCAGUGUUGAUUAAAUAUUUGUUAUUAUCUUUAGCUAUAUUUUGAGAGAUCAUGAACAUGAGAAGGAAGUGAAGAAAAUGUUUAUUGUUCAGAAAGAUGUUUUUGGGGAUUCUACUAUUAUAUUCUUCUCGAUUCUUGAGAAAUGGUAACUUCUCCAUACCUAAAUAGUGAAUUUAGCAGCUAUUCUCUUUGUACUUAUCAGCCAGUGAAUUAGGGGAAUCGCAUCUUGAAUUUACUAAUGGGGCAUCAUUUUGUUCCUGCCGUCUACAUUGAUGUUUUCUCUGCUAAAGUGACAACCAACUUUCCAAGUUCAAGUCAGAUGACACGGAGAGGGGGAGAAGUUUAUGAUGGUUCUUCAUGUGUGUGCCAUUUAGGUUAUAUUUGAAAAUACUUUCCAAUGUUGUUUUGAAUGUAGUGAACUACCGAUUAACUAUUUCAUUGGCAGAUGAAUACUUAUGAUUGCCAUUUUUGUGGAUUUGGAUACUUACCAUUGCCUUUUGUUGAGGAUUUUGUAAUCCUAUUUGUCAACAUAAUGGGUUAGUUGUCUACCUGAGAUAGGUUUUGCUAAAUAUUUGCGCAUGUUGGCUGACAGUAUGGUCACCACAUAUAUGACAUUAAGGUAACAGAAGUAGUGCCCUUCUAUUUCUACUCUUACUCACACUAUCCUAUUGCAUUGGAACGAAUUUACCAUUUUGAAUAUUUGGUGUAUGCUAUGUAAAAUAGUAAGCAUGGUAGCCACGUACUCUUGUUUCUAUUCUAAAAUCCUACCAUAAAGAAGCUCUCUUUUGGAUGAAGAACAAAGUAAUCCCUGUUUGAGUGCCUAUAUUGUUGCAGACAAUAUGUGAUUUUCUGUGCUAUUAUUUGUGUAAUUUUAAAAGAAUGUGAUAAUGGUCAGUGCUAAUCACAUUUCUUUAAAAAAUUUAGCAUGGUUCUUGACGUCUACAUUGAUGUUUUCUCUGGUAAAGUGACAACCAACUUUCCAAGUUCAAGUCAGAUGACACGAAGAGGGGUUAGAAGAUUAUGAUGGUUCUUCAUGUAUGUGCCAUUUAGGUUAUAUUUGAAAAUACUUCCAAUGUUGUUUUCAAUGUAGUGAACUACUGUAACUAUUUCAUUGGCAGAUGAAUACUUAUGAUUGCCUUUUUUGUGGAUUUUGGAUACUUAUGAUUGCCUUUUGUUGAGGAUUUUGUAACCAUGUUCGUCGACAUAAUGGGUUAGUUGUCUACUAGAGAUAGGUUUUGCUAAAUAUUUGCGCAUGUUUGCUGACAUUGGUCACCACACUGAUGUUAGUGGACAGACCUUAAUAAGAAACUAUAAAUGAUUCUUCAAAUUUUAUUAGUAUAGUAUUUUCUUAUUUGCUUACACUUCCAUUUUCC